GUGGGGAAUAUUGGACAAUGGGCGAAAGCCUGAUCCAGCCAUGCCGCGUGUGUGAAGAAGGUCUUCGGAUUGUAAAGCACUUUAAGUUGGGAGGAAGGGCAGUAAGUUAAUACCUUGCUGUUUUGACGUUACCGACAGAAUAAGCACCGGCUAACUUCGUGCCAGCAGCCGCGGUAAUACGAAGGGUGCAAGCGUUAAUCGGAAUUACUGGGCGUAAAGCGCGCGUAGGUGGUUUUGUAAGGUGGAGGUGAAAUCCCCGGGCUCAACCUGGGAACUGCCUCCAAAACUGCAUGACUAGAGUACGGUAGAGGGUAGUGGAAUUUCCUGUGUAGCGGUUAAAUGCGUAGAUAUAGGAAGGAACACCAGUGGCGAACGCGACUACCUGGACUGAUACUGACACUGAGGUGCGAAAGCGUGGGGAGCAAACAGGAUUAGAUACCCCUGUAGUCC
RNAcentral lists this ribosomal RNA (450 nucleotides) under uncultured bacterium. RNAcentral's name for it is "partial 16S ribosomal RNA". It matches the Rfam family "Bacterial small subunit ribosomal RNA", at positions 354 to 796 of the family's 1533-position model. The record is from RNAcentral.